This 779-nucleotide ribosomal RNA is filed under the name uncultured Neocallimastigales. Its description in RNAcentral is "partial large subunit ribosomal RNA". It matches the Rfam family "Eukaryotic large subunit ribosomal RNA", at positions 22 to 621 of the family's 3401-position model. Lineage: Eukaryota; Fungi; Neocallimastigomycota; Neocallimastigomycetes; Neocallimastigales. The record is from RNAcentral.
AUAUCAGUCAUGCAUAGCAUAUCAAUAAGCGGAGGAAAAGAAACUAACAAGGAUUCCCUUAGUAACGGCGAGUGAAGCGGGAAGAGCUCAAAUUUGAAAUCUUCAAGGUUUUACCUUGACGAAUUGUAGUUUAAAGAAGUGUUUUCUGUUGAAGUUUUGGUAAAAGUUCUUUGGAAUAGGACAUCAUAGAGGGUGAGAAUCCCGUAUUUGACCAUUACUUUACAGCUUUGUGAUACACUUUCAAAGAGUCGGAUUGUUUGGGAAUGCAGUCCAAAAUGGGUGGUAAAUUUCAUCUAAAGCUAAAUAUUGGCGAGGAGACCGAUAGCGAACAAGUACCGUGAGGGAAAGAUGAAAAGAACUUUGAAAAGAGAGUUAAACAGUACGUGGAAAUUGUCAAAAGGGAAGCGUUUGACACCAGUGUUGUUUUCUCGAAAAUCAAUUAAAAAGAGUUGGAUUUUGUGUUGUAUUGACUUUAUCGGCUUUCUUCACUCUUUUCCAGCUUUUUUUAAUGCACUUUUCGUUUAACAAGUCAACAUCAGUUUCUUUUGUUGUAAAAAAGGUCAUGGAAGGUGGCUUUCUCUUCGGAGAAAGUGUUUAUAGCCUUUGACUCAUGCAAUCGGAGAGAGACUGAGGUCUGCAGCGUAGAUCCUUCGGGGUUAGAUACAUUUGUGCUAAGUUAUAGCUUUUCAUAGACAACUUGUUGACUAUGUUUAGUCUUGUAGCUUACUCGCUUAUGCUAUUUUACCUACGCUUAGGAUGUUGAACUCUAUCACACACAG